RNAcentral lists this ribosomal RNA (467 nucleotides) under uncultured bacterium. RNAcentral's name for it is "partial 16S ribosomal RNA". It matches the Rfam family "Bacterial small subunit ribosomal RNA", at positions 28 to 507 of the family's 1533-position model. The record is from RNAcentral.
GAUGAACGCUGACAGAAUGCUUAACACAUGCAAGUCAACUUGAAUUUGGGUUUUUAACUUAGGUUUGGGUGGCGGACGGGUGAGUAACGCGUAAAGAACUUGCCUCACAGCUAGGGACAACAUUUGGAAACGAAUGCUAAUACCUAAUAUUAUGAUAAUAGGGCAUCCUAUAAUUAUGAAAGCUAUAAGCGCUGUGAGAGAGCUUUGCGUCCCAUUAGCUAGUUGGAGAGGUAACGGCUCACCAAGGCGAUGAUGGGUAGCCGGCCUGAGAGGGUGAUCGGCCACAAGGGGACUGAGACACGGCCCGUACUCCUACGGGAGGCAGCAGGGGGGAAUAUUGGACAAUGGACCGAGAGUCUGAUCCAGCAAUUCUGUGUGCACGAUGAAGUUUUUCGGAAUGUAAAGUGCUUUCAGUUGGGAAGAAACAAAUGACGGUACCAACAGAAGAAGUGACGGCUAAAUACGUG